GAUGAAGAACGCAGCGAAAUGCGAUACGUAGUGUGAAUUGCAGAAUUCAGUGAAUCAUCGAAUCUUUGAACGCACAUUGCACCUCUCGGUAUUCCGGGAGGUAUGCCUGUUCGAGCGUCAUUUGUACCCUCAAGCUCUGCUUGGUGUUGGGUGUUUGUUCCGCCUCUGUGUGUGAACUCGCCUCAAAACAAUUGGCAGCCGGCGUACUUGUUUCGGAGCGCAGCACAUUUUGCGAUCCAGAUCAACGUACAGCGGCAUCCAAGAAGCCUUAUUUAACGCUCUUGACCUCGGAUCAGGUAGGGAUACCCGCUGAACUUAAGCAUAUCAAUAAGGA
RNAcentral lists this unclassified non-coding RNA (334 nucleotides) under soil metagenome. RNAcentral describes it as "partial contains 5.8S ribosomal RNA, internal transcribed spacer 2, and large subunit ribosomal RNA". The stretch from base 1 to 120 matches the Rfam family "5.8S ribosomal RNA", at positions 35 to 154 of the family's 154-position model. The record is from RNAcentral.